Bubalus bubalis (water buffalo) is the source of this 3357-nucleotide non-coding RNA. The record is from the annotation of a RefSeq genome assembly. NCBI's taxonomy places the organism in Eukaryota, Metazoa, Chordata, Mammalia, Artiodactyla, Bovidae.
AAAAAAUGAGUGUGAGGCCUGCAUGGAGAAUGGAUGAAACAGGAAGCAGGAAGACCUUUUGGAUAGUAGAGUAAUUGCUGGCAACCAAGGAAGAAAGCUCCGCCUGAGGCAGGGGUGGCUGUGAGCAGAGGGGAAAUUGGGAGCUGCACAGAUUCUGAGUGCGGGCAGAAGGACAACAACUGGCAGGCCGGCUAGCUCCUGCCUGCCCCACCCUUUCCCCCUACAGCUCCUGGAAAUGCUCUCCUGACAGAGCCUCCUCCCAACUCUCUGGGCUCAGUUCACAGUUACCCCUUCUGAGUAUCCCAAGCAGAACCAGCUCUUUUUCUGUGCUCCUGGAGUGCUUUGGAUCUACCUUUAAAAAAAAAAAAAAAUAGCAUUUCACACUCUUCUGCAAUUGCUCUGUGUCUGUUUCCCCAAAAAGCUGAGCGCUCUCAAGGCAGAACUUUACAUCCUAUAUCAGAAGUUUCCUCUUACAUCUCCCAAAUAGCAUCUGACCUGUGAUGUCAUUAGCCCAUGUUUGUUGAAUAAACAGCCUCAUCUCUGGCCUUGCAAGCCUGUCGCUCUCUCUCUCUGAGGAAGUGGCUAACCCCCAGCCACCCUUACAACGGACAAAACGUCCUAUGGCUAGACAGCAGCUGAUCUGGGCAGGGACAGGCAGGGGACCAGCACACCGCAGAGUCAUCGCCCUAAAGCCAUGCUGUGGACCUGUGCCCUCUUCCACCUAGCCAUCUGCUGGGCAGGGGUCUCUUUGGAUGUAAUUUUGGAAUCAGAGACCAAAACACUGACUGUCCUCCUUGGGGAGCCUGCCACCUUCCGUUGCAACGUAACUGGAGGGAACUGGAAGAACUAUCAGAUGAGUUGGUAUAAGAAGAAUGAGAAUAACGUCUUAACUUUGGUAUACAGACUAAGCAAUAAUUCUAAUGAAAAUGUAAGGGGUAAUUUCCAAGGGAAAAUUGAUACUUCAAAAAAUCAAUACGUACUCAACAUUCAAAAAACAACAAUAAAAGAGGUUGGAACUUACUACUGUGGAUCCGACAUCCACAGUGCUACAGUCCUGAUUCUGAUCGCCUCAGAUCUCCCCGAGUCAAACCAAGGCAGCAGAUCCAACAAGAGACCAUCUUUAGCUAAAAUGAGCACCACCCCUGAGGUAAAACCACAUUUUAACCUCAACAGGAACAUUUGAUAAGAGAGUCAGGAGUUGAGUUGGGGCCUUAUCUUUGUAGUUGGUGGAGAGGGACUUUCUUUAUCAGCCAAAGUGGUCAGAAAGGUCUGUUAGGGUUUGUACAGAGAGACCAAGGGGACCCUGCUUCUCUCUCACAGACUCCUGAGAAAAGACUUGGGGGGGGGGGGGGGGAAACAGCUUUCAAUACUGAGAAGUUCCUCUCAUUGUGGAGAGGCUGAGAUGAACAUAUUUCUACUCUAGGGAGUGCUUGCUGUAUAUAAAGACUCAUCCCAGUGUCUUUAUCAUGAAAGCCUUUGUGUGCAUAAACCAGAUAAAGCAAUGAUGGUUUUCCAUUACCAUCCUAAUCAAAAUUUCCAAAGCUAUUAGAGAUAGCUUUAACUCCUAGUCUGUGAUGAAGGAUGACUACACUCAUUUUCUGAGAUGCUCCCUAACUAUUUCAGGUAUUGAAUGUUUACAUCUUCCCUUAGCGACGGAGGAGCCCAGGGGACUCAUUGGGGAAUGCAGGGAGGGAUAGCACAUGGCCUUCUGUUAUGUGGGUUGCCAAGAGAGAUUUUGGAGACAAAUAUUUGUGGCAAUGUGGGAUUUCUGAGGUAGUCAUAAAUCAACUGAAUUAAAAAAAAAAAAAAAAUAGACCCCUGAGCCACAAGUUGAAAUGGAGGAGACUGAAGUAUCUGGAACUAGAGGAAGUCAAGGCCUGGAGGCACCACUGAGCAAACUGAAGGGCAGGAGGGAUUAAAGACACAAACAUUUCAUAAUCAUCAAGAGAGCGCUUUCAUCCUAUUGGCCUUAAUAGCCCUCUCUUUGUUUUUCUGCUCAAGUAUCUGUCUGGAAUCCUCUGCAUACAUAAGGUUAAAAGUCAGGCAUUAGGAUACAGAGUAGAUGCGAAUGUGAAAACUACAGCUUUCCUCAUGCCUCUUCCCAAUAUUCUUUCCAAUGUUAUCUUCAUCGCACAUUUAGUUACAGGGCACUUACUGUGUUUAUAAUAUUGGUAUAGGUCAUGGGAAUAGAAAGAGUUCUGUGUUAACUUCUAUUUUAAAUUGUAUUCUCAUCAAUGGAUUUAUAAUUUAUUUUAGAAGACAGAGCAUUAGAAAUUACAACUAGAGAUAUGAAUAAAUGAUUAAAAAAAUACUAGCAAGUACAAUCGAACAGUGAGUGCUGUGACUUCACAUGCAGUGUUCCAGGAGUUCAUGAAAGGACAAUCAGUAUGAGAAAAGUUUCCUAGGAUAGCUAAGGUUUGCAAAAGUUGGGACUUGGAUAAGUGGGAAGGAAGAAGAAGGAUAUUUCAAGGUGAGUGUACCAGGUAUCUACCUUUAUAUAAUGAAUUACCACAACACAGAAAGGUUCAAAGCAUUUAUUAUCUCACAGUUUCUAUGGGUCCAGAAUCCAGGUGUGUCUUAGCUGGGUCCUCCAGGGUCUCCCAUCAGGCUGCAGUCAUGUCAAGCAUCUGCUGGAAGAGAAUCGACUUUCAAGUUCACUCAUGUGGAUGUUGGCAGAAUUUGAGUCCUCAUGUAGACUUCUCCACAGGUUCCAUCAUAGCAUGGUACUUACUUCCCUACAGCAAAGGAGAGAGAGCAUCCAAGGUGGAAGGCACAGUCUUUUGGAAACAAUCUUAGCAGUGACAUUCCAUCGCAUCUGCCACAUACCAUUUAGUAGAAAUGAGUCAGUAAGUACAGCCCAUACUCAAAGGAAGGAGAUUAUGUGAGAGCAUGAAUGAAUACCAGGAGGUAGGGCUCAUUGAGGGCUGCCACAUCAGAGGCUUCCCACCACCAGGGAUUAAUGCAGCAGAACAGGGAAAGAGGGAGCAAAAGCUCUGCUUGAGACCAACUUGUUUAAACCCUCCUGGCUACACGACUAACGAGAUUUGAUUUUAUAUUAUAAGCCAAAUUUUCUCAAACUUUUUUGUGUAGGCAAAGCACUAAGAGAGAUUGUUUCCAAUCCAAUUCUGCACCCAGUCUACAAAGAUUCUAAUUUGGCAUAUCUGGGGGCAGGCCUAGGAACAUGUAUUUAUAACAAGGACCCUGGGUGAUUAUGAUGCAGGUAGUCCAAGGACAUGUCUGAGAAAUUCUGCUAUAAGCAGAAAAAGAACUGUUGGAUAUAUCCAAGUUCUUCUGCCCUGAUGACAGAGAAAUGGGCAUUAGAUAUGAUCAAAGAAUCUCUUGAACAAUGGUUUUUAA